Molecule: transfer RNA, 95 nt
Filed under: Burkholderia sola
Lineage: Bacteria; Pseudomonadati; Pseudomonadota; Betaproteobacteria; Burkholderiales; Burkholderiaceae
Description: tRNA-Leu
Source: RNAcentral
AUGGCAGCGGGCUGUCGGCGGACAGCAGGCGCUUCAGGAUCGCGUCGCGAAUCGUGUCGGCGAUGCAUUCCUGCUUCGAUUGCGGGCUGCCGCCC